Molecule: long non-coding RNA, 599 nt
Organism: Drosophila sulfurigaster albostrigata
Lineage: Eukaryota; Metazoa; Arthropoda; Insecta; Diptera; Drosophilidae
Exons: 3
Source: RefSeq, a predicted model, not a curated record
CAAUUAUAAAGGUCACUUCAAGUUCUGGGCUUUGAAUUUCCGGUUGAGAUUAUAUCGAAUAUUCUCUUAUCACGAGUAAUUUACUUUUUAAAUCGGACCAGAACUAAUUUGUUAGACUGUCUUCAUUAGGGUUUGAGAGAAGGAGGGUAGAAGAGGAGACAUUAAUAAUGAUGUCGGAGUCGUGUCAUCAAAAAUCCGUCAAACCGAUUAAGCGACGACCAGAAGCCACAUUCAAAUACACAUUAAUGUCAGCUUAAAGUCUGAGACUGAAAUCGAGAGACGGAAACGGAGACAGAGACUGAGACGAAGACGAAGACCAGUCAAAAGGCAAAAGACCAGACUCGAUUUGCGAAUGCGAAUGUUCAAUGCUUAUACCUGGGCUAAGACGUGUCCCUAAAAAAAGUGCCAAGGAGCGAGGCAAACACUCUGGGAUACUCUGCUCUUUAUUGUCGUCGUCGUCUUGUUUUUAUGGAUUUAUGUGUGGGUCGCCAAUGGCCAUUAACUGCAGGUAGCCCAAACCCGAAACCCAAAUACAAACCCGAAAUCCAUUUCAGCAUAGUUUAUGGGUUUUCUCUCAGCUCUCCGUGUCCACAUGUCGA